GAGACUCCAUAUUAGACUUGCGUUCCAGAUACCGCUCUAAUCUGGACUUAGCCUACCUAAAUAGUCCUUCUGUGUUACCAGGUUUGGACCACUUUAUCCUGUUUGCCAAAAUGUAUACCUGUUUAAAGACCUCUGUGCGUGCAUGGCGUCCUGGUCCCUCUGUAUUGAAAGCGAAUAUUUGUUUCCUGCAUCUGUGUUGGGGGUUCUACCGCCUACCAAGAAUGAGCCACCUUUGGGGAAGCAGGGAAAGAAUUAUGAUAGAAUUGGCAUCCUGCUUUGAAAAAUGUAGUCUUUUGUUUAUUUGCUAGCAGACGUUGUAGCACUGACUACAUCUAUGGGUCUAACAAUGGGACCCGUUGAACAAUGGAGCUGUCAAACUAGCUUAAUGCAUGUCUGGGUUUUUUGUUUUGUUUUUUUUUUUUUUCUUUCUCAACACCCUUUUUAUCUCCUUUAAUCUUGUUUGUAUAGACUCUACCAAAUGGAGAGCUUUUAGGACUGCUUGCUUGUGGUUUCAUGCUUUUAAAAAAUUUAAUAUCUGCCGUUCAUAGAGCUUUUUGCAUUUUGCAGCUAUGUUGGUUGGAUUAAGUUAGAGAUUUAUUGCUUACCUCUCUGUUAACUACAGAAAGAAACUCAUUGAUUGAGACUGCUUGUAAUACCAUUAUCAUUCUGGCAAAUACCUGGUUAUCAGACAUGCCUCUACAGUAUUUAAUUCUUGAGGAUUUAAAAUUUGCCUAUUCGGUGGACUUACAUAGCAUGAAAGAGAAGUUAAAAGAAUAUUUCUAAUGUUUAAGUAAAUUAUAAUUUCUAGUCUCUUCCUCCACUUCUGGAAUCCGGGUAGAUAAAUAGUUUAGAAAUUCAAGGACAAGUGAGAACUUUUGCCCUUAUAAUUUUGGUCACAAACUAUCUUUAUAUAUAUAGCCUGUUAAAUUGUUGAGUUAAAGGUCUCUAUGGAAUAUAUUGAUUUUUGAUAUAUGAUUAUGUGCUUAUAAGAUGCAUUUCUGUGCAAGGCAAGUAUUCCUCACCUCUGCAAAAAUCUUUCGUUUCAUAACAUAAGUACUGGUUUCUAAGGUGCAAACAGUGAGACUGAGACUUUAAAUAAAAAGAGAAAAAUGGAAAAAUCUGUUUCAAACUUCUCCGAUAUUAGAAACAUUUUUGUCCUCACAUUCGAUGUCAAAGAACUGAUCCUAGAAUAUUAAAUCUACAUGCAAAUCAGCUGAUCUACAUGAAAAUCAUGUCACUAAGGGGGCUUUCCGUAAAGAAUGUAUCUUUUCUAAUAGUCUAGUGUUUUGCUUUAAUUAGUUGUUUGUGCCCGAGCAGUCUAUUGAAAAAUAUUAGUAAAUGUAUAAAGAUCAAGGAUUUUAACUUUUAAAAACAGAAAGGAAAUCAUUUGAAAGGGCAAAUUUAAAAAAAUGCAUUUAUAUAUUUUGUUACAAAUAUUGCUUCUUGGAUUACAUUGUGGUUCAAAUUAGUGAUAUCCCUGGCAAACAAGGAACAAAUAUAUUUCUUAUGAAAACAGUUAGGAAACAUUAACCAUUUUUUAAGCGUUUGCACGUGCCCUUCAAUUUUUUUAAGUUAAAAUGUUGGCGUUAAUUCAGAGUUAUGAAAAUGAAUGGUUCCAGCUCAAUACAUUGCCUGCUCAAACAUAGAUUUUUGUACUGACAAUAUUUUCAGAGGCUGGCUGGACCCAAAACAUAUCUGUAGGAUAAUAAUAUUUUUAAAGUUAUCCAUUGUGAGCAGUGUGGAUUUUAUGAUUAUGUUCUCUUACUUCCAGAGGGAUCUGAACUGCUCAUUCCAUUGGGUAUGCCAAUAAUUGCUUUUAGGAUGAGCUCAUAAAAGGUAAUUGGUGAAGCUUUAUAUCUGAAGCUGGCCCACUGCUGCCAGCACACCUAGAUUCUGCUUUCCUGGGAAAUUUUUAUUUUAAAACAAAGGUCACAAAGCAAUGUGUGUGUGUGUGUGUGUGUGUGUGUGUGUGUGGUUUGGGGAAAAAGUAGUGUCCUGUGCUCCCCAGCUGCUUGUCAGUAGCAUGCCGAAAUAAAUAUCUUGGAAACCUCCAUGUUGAAUUUUUGACUAAAUUAUCAUCAUUUACCCAUGCUCUAUUCACUUUAAUUCCUGGGUGAUCAUAUCAGGUUCAAGGUUAAGGGAAAUCCCUUCCCAUCUGUGCUUUGAUCCACUACGAGCGUUCAGAAUUCCGGACACCCUCCACCCCCCUUUCCAGUGUCCGCCACGCAGCUAUCUUUUCCUCCAGGCUGAUGGGGAAGGAGGAGGUGGCUGAAAGUUGGCAAACUUGACUCCAUGUCUUUCCACAACUGCAACAAGAUAUGUAAUCUGUAUCCUGCCAUCAGCCUCUACGGGGGAAUGAUCCCCUUCUAGAAUGACCUAAACAAAUGUCAAAAGAAAUUUGAAUUCUAAGCCCAGACUUGGAGAAAGGGACUCACAAGAGGGUCAAAGUGGGAAGAUGGCUUCUUUCAGUAGAGUUGCAGUUGCACCCCUUGUCCCCUCACACACGAGCCUCGGGGAUGCUCAGAAAUACAGGGAUGUGUCCAGCAGACCCCAGGCUUCGAUCUGUUAACUUCAACAUAUCAAUUAGUCCUUUAUGUGUGAACAUGAAACCUCACAGUUUUUCUUUCUAUAAAUAUGAGUGUAUACACUUAUGAAAUAUCCCCACAGGGCCAAAAAAAAAAAACAAAGAAAGGCAUUUGAUUAAUAUUCAUAUCUAGAACUUGAGUGCAAGAGCAGACUGUGCUGGAAUACCUAGGAAGUCAUUCAAAGGGGGAAUCAAUACUAAUUAUUGUAAUCAGGGCGGUUAAUUAGGUGAAAAUGUAGCUGAUGGAUAGUUCCUUGCUCGCAGUCCUAGAAACACCUAGGGUGAUGAAAAGAAGGUAAAAUACAAAAGGAAGAGUGUCACAGGGGAAUGACGGCUCCGUUUUACGGGGUCAGAGCCUGUCGAUGAAAGACGUACCUUGAUUUGCUGUAAUUGUGGUUGCGAGGAAACUAAGAAACAAGCAACUUUGUCGCUGGCGUAGAGCUUUCUGGAAAAGUCAUCAGCAGAAUGCAGUUCGUUAGGAGCAUCUCCACGGCCUUUAUCUGCACGUUUUCAGACAGAAACACGUGUAUUCCACUCAGUUGCGAUGACAUCUUAGAUCAUCUGGACGAGCCUUCAUUGCAUUUCUUUCUACCUUUUGGUAAUUCCUGGGGGAUUUGUGGGGGCAGGGAAGUUCUCCUUUCAUCAAACUAUUGAUUGCUUCUCUCUUGGUGAUUACUGGCUUUGGGAAUUUUUCUAACUUCGCAGUGACUUUUAUUCUGUAGGGAAGAUGAGGCAGUGGUUUGGGGAGAGGAUUAAAAUCUGUGGCAUUUCCCUGAACUGACAUGGGGAAGAGACAGAGCGUGUGUGUGUGUGUGUGUGUGUGUUUGAACCUCUACUCAACUCAGAGAUGUGCUGGUUCACCCUGAUUUGGGAUGAGGCACCCUUUGUUCCCACAUGCAGCCUUCUGCGUCAUGCGAUGUCAUUAGGGAUUGUUAUGUGCAGAUAUGUUGAUCUGAUUCCCAGCUUUCUUCUGCUGAGGACAGAUCCCAGGGCAUUUUCUUGUAUGUCAAGACCACAUGGCUCGCAGGGAAUGGCAUCUGUGGGGAGAGGGUGACAGCAGCCCAGAGUGCCAUGUCUUACCAGGGCAGCUCAGCUGCCACCUCCUCCCCAUCCGUGCCGACCCUCCUGUGAUUGGCUGCCUGCGGUGGAGAUACGUCACUGCCGUUUAUGAAGCAGGGCUUGCCAGCAUGCCCUUGGAGAAAAACAAAAACCAGAAUUUUCCUGCAUGACCAUUUGGUUCAGCCAACUUUGUCAUGGACAAGAAGAGCGUCAGGUUGGAAGUUAUAAGGCUGAUCCACCUCUAGUAUCAGUGGCUUUUUGAAUCCCCAUCUGGAGAAAGGUUGCAGCUGCGAUUGGUAAAAAAAAAGCUGGGUGGAAACUUGUGGGCGGCAUUGCCAGCUUCCGGCUUGUGUGUGAAGUGACUUGCAGGGGUGCCGAGAACCUGGUGCCGCCCUCCUGAAAAGCUGCCCAUCUCAGUGAUCCAGGGCUGCAGGGGCCCCUGCCACACUGUGGUCGUUGUCAUGCCUUUCUUUUUGACCAUCUUGAUCUGGGACCCCAGUUCUCUUUCGGGUUCUGUGAGAUAGCUUCCCCCUUUGUUCAGAGAUGAUUUAGAAAGCAUCUCUGUAAGUGAAAACGCACUGAGUUGGUGAUGGGUGGCACGAAUUCCCGGUGGCGGCAGUUAGGAUGCAUUUUGACUUUCUCUUCAGAAACUGACUUGAUGAAAAAGGGGCGGAGCCCGCAUCCCCAGCCCUGGGAUGCUUGGUGCCUGCCCUCCUACCCUUCGUCCCCCCUCUGGGCUGAGCUGCUGGACUUAGAAAUAUCAGUGAAAACUUUACUGCUGCGUGAACAAUAGGAUCAGGACCGGCUUUCUCUUUUCCUUCCCAUAUGCCCGUCCCAGAUUUAAACAGAGAUCAUGGGGUGCAAGUGUCAUGAUUGGCAGCAAGGAAUAAAUCAAAGGUUUACUGAUAAUCAGCUCUGUACCUGGCACUACACUCGGUGAUCUCUUUUAUGGAACUGAAUCCUCACAGAUAUCCAAGAGUUCGUGGCAGUUAUAUUAUUCCCAUUUCAAAGAUGAAAAAACUGAGUCUGACAGAGGGAAAAUAAUGGGCCCCCAGACCCACAGCUCAGGGUAGAUGAGAUCCUUAGUCAGGACUCAAGCAAGCUCCUUCCUUGGCCACCGUGAAAGGAUAAAUAUUGGAGAUUUGAUGCUUGAACGCGUUGUAUUUCCCCCGGUGCUGAAUUUCCGCGGUGCACUUUGAUUUGUAUGUGUCGUCUGGUUUUGUACUGAGUAGGUGGUGCAGUGAAAAAGGGGAAAAACCACACUUCUUUUUGCUUCUAACAACUCCCACUUGGAUCCAUCUUGGUUUCCUUUAUAGUCCAUGAGGUCUUUGAAUCAAAGCACCUGUGCUUCACUUUUCUCAGCUUCUAUCUGUAUAAUGGGAACAGAUUUGGAAGGGAGAAUAGACAAAUUUGAAGCAUGAUGAAACCGAAAUGUGAGUUUUUAUCUGCAUAAGGGGUCAAGGUUUGUCAUACUGUAAUCAGAACCAACCAAGCAACACAUACACUAUACAGGACAUAGUCUCAGUUGUUAAGAAGCUGCAUGAAACAGAGAGGGAACAGAAUGGCUAAGACAGUAUCAAGUGGUGUAUAAUACAGGGGCGGGGCUUGAAGGAUGGGUGAGGGAGCGGGAGAGGAACGUGGUCGUUAGAACAGCCUGGUUUUGUCUUUGCUAUUAAAGCAAAUUUGCACAACAUCCUUAAGUGGUUCCCUUUCUUCCUCGGACCAUCAGGUCGCUCACAUCGCUGCUUCUCCCUCACUUGGCGGUAUUCCUGUGAACGAGUGCAAGUGUAGCCAGUAGCCUGUACCAGAGAGUAUUGAGAGGCUAAGCGAUUGGUAACAAAGGUUUACCCUCAGCUGCAGAGAUGAGACAAGAUAAUGCAUUUCCACUUAGCUUGUGUAGAUAGCUACACCAGUGUUCAUGAAGAAUUUUUUUCCCCCCUAAGGGAUUUCAUGGGAAUUAGCAUCAAAAGCCAAGUUAAAGAAAAAUCAGCUGGGAUUUUCAAAAACCUCUAUCAUGGGCUAAAAAUAGUUAAGAGAUUUGAACCAUAUUAUAGGGGAAAAAAAAUUUCCUGUGCUCAAAACCUUAAUGUAUUUUCAACCUACGUGUCACUUAAUAGCUUGGUUAUGUAAUUGCUGUAGUAAUAAUUAGGUUAACUAACACAGGGCACCUCUUAUCUGUGGGAUCACGGUAGAUUUUGAUUUUGUAGCCAUCUACCAGGAAAUGAUGGCCUGGCACAUGACAAAGGUCUAGCUGACGAAUCCGAAAAUUAAAUGACAUGGUCCCAGUGUCAGGCUGUUCUGAUGGAAUCACAGGCAGAAUCCAGCACGUCUGGUUCUUAAAUCUUCAUCAUCCUUUUCACUCCUCUGGCAAAAGCAGCAUUUGCCUUAAAGAGUCUGAUCAUCUGCAGGUACCAUUAUCAGAUGACUUCUGAUCCUUGGAAGGGAGAGCUCUUUGUUGGGGGGGGGGGUGUCCUGAGAUCAUUGUGGGUAAAGCAGAUUCACGUGUUUUGUUCUACAGGCAUCCGAGCGUUUGGUCUCAUUAAGGUUUCCUCUUCUACAAGAUGUAUUUGUUCAGAAAAAGGAGGAACAUUCAAGCCAGUGGGGUUCUCAAGUCCAGAUUUUGAUUCUCACCAAGAGGGGUCUCAGGCACCACCUCCCCCCGCAAGGCUUAAAACUCCCUUUCUCUUCCACCCCCACCUGUUGCUGCUUUCUGUCUGGACCUAAUGUUAUGCCAACGGCUGUGGCCACCCAGCUGUUACCACUCAGCUGUUGGGGUUUGUCAGGCAGUAGUUUCUCCUUUUCAAAUUUACAGCACGCGGCAGUAAGAUGAGACCCUCUGGCCAGUUGGGGACAACAGGAUGGGGGGUGGGGGUGUCUUAUGGCACAUUCCCAGGGAACUGAAAACCCCAUUCGGAUAGGUAUGCAUUUUGUUCCCGCCGCCAGGCUGGCACCAGACGAGGGGACCUGAUACAGCUGGACAAAUCUCGGCAUCUUCAAGGGGCCACGGGGACCUUCCCUGAGAGGUGUUUUUUGGUUUGUUUUUUUUCUGAGUGCCUUCGUGUACACAUCCCCAGGCCAGCUUUUUUUUUUUUUUUUUCCUCCUUCCACCCUUUCUUCAGUCUUCUCCUUCCCAAUUUUCAUACCUUAUUGAUUCAUUUCAUGGGACAGAGUCUUCCCUCCCCCUCUCCCACCCCCGGAAGGACUCGCCCAGAGGCAGCUGUUCCCAGUGGGGACACCAGCCCUUGGUCAAGGCAAACUUGAGUUCCCUGACAGAUGAGCCACCAGCUACCUCUCCACUCAUGUGGGCACCUGCCUCCGCAGACACGCAGCUGUGGAGGAAAGCUUCUGGCAUUGUCUGGCUUCCGUUUGAGAGAGAAAGAGGGAGCGAGAGAGAGAAGGCCGAGUGAGGGACAGUCAGGAAGGAGGCAGCGGUGUCAUGGAGAAAGGAAGCAAAGGCAAAGCCAAGUCCGAGAGGGAAGCCAUGAGCUGGUUGGGCUCUGGGUCCGACAGGCCCACACUUUUAACAUUUCAUCCCCUUGGGAUGGAAGCUUCUGGAAACUCUAGAGGGGCGCCUCCUUUCCGAGCUCGAAGGUAUGUAUGCAAAGAACCCAUCUUCCCUUAGAGGGUCUCUUCAGAAGGAAGAGAAAUUCACCAUCUUUGCCUUUUUGCGCUAUUGAAAAUAAAUUCAGAAAAAC
This 7338-nucleotide long non-coding RNA is filed under the name Sus scrofa (pig). Its description in RNAcentral is "lncRNA (ENSSSCG00015060202.1)". Lineage: Eukaryota; Metazoa; Chordata; Mammalia; Artiodactyla; Suidae. The record is from RNAcentral.